RNAcentral lists this ribosomal RNA (224 nucleotides) under uncultured bacterium. RNAcentral describes it as "partial 16S ribosomal RNA". It matches the Rfam family "Bacterial small subunit ribosomal RNA", at positions 524 to 747 of the family's 1533-position model. The record is from RNAcentral.
UACGAAGGGGGCUAGCGUUGCUCGGAAUGACUGGGCGUAAAGGGCGCGUAGGCGGAUGGCUUUGUCGGGCGUGAAAUUCCAGGGCUUAACCUUGGGGCUGCGUUCGAGACGGGUUGUCUUGAGUGGGGAAGAGGGUCGUGGAAUUCCCAGUGUAGAGGUAAAAUUCGUAGAUAUUGGGAAGAACACCGGUGGCGAAGGCGGCGACCUGGUCCUUUACUGACGCG